RNAcentral lists this long non-coding RNA (2989 nucleotides) under Nicotiana benthamiana. Its description in RNAcentral is "long non-coding RNA (NBEN_LNC017165)". Lineage: Eukaryota; Viridiplantae; Streptophyta; Magnoliopsida; Solanales; Solanaceae. The record is from RNAcentral.
AUUGCUAGAGGAGUGGCCCUUUUUUCUAGCUCAAGGGAGUCAAACUGAGGUUCCCUUGACCAAAACCCUCAGCCUUCCAAUACCAUCACCCAUUCAGCUAACCCUUCACCAUCCAUUUCUUUUAAAUUUGUCAGACAUGCCUCCAAUGGAUCUUUAACAAUUAGGGUCCUAUCAUCUUCGUGUAGGAUUACAUCCAUUGCCUCCCCUAGAGAGCAAUUAGCAUAUUCACUAGGUCUCCUCAUCAAGUGCUGAACAUUGAAUAUGACUUCUUCAUUGUUCAAUAUCAUUUUUAGUUCCCUAUUCUCACAGUCUAUCAAUGCUCUCCCAGUGGCUAAAAAUGGUCUCCCAAAAAUAAGGGGUAUCUCCUCAUCCACCUGACAACCAAGAAUCACAAAGUUUGCAGGGAAUACGAACUUCCCCACUUGCACCAGCACAUCAUCAAGAAUGCCAAUUGGUCUUUUCACAGUGCGAUCAGCCAGCAUAGAAGUCGGUCUUGGUCUUCCGAUGCCCAAUUUAUUAUACACUUCUUAACAAUUAGGGUCCUAUCAUCUUCGUGUAGGAUUACAUCCAUUGCCUCCCCUAGAGAGCAAUUAGCAUAUUCACUAGGUCUCCUCAUCAAGUGCUGAACAUUGAAUAUGACUUCUUCAUUGUUCAAUAUCAUUUUUAGUUCCCUAUUCUCACAGUCUAUCAAUGCUCUCCCAGUGGCUAAAAAUGGUCUCCCAAAAAUAAGGGGUAUCUCCUCAUCCACCUGACAAUCUAGAAUAACAUAGUCUGCGGAGAACACGAACUUCCUCACCUGUACCAACACAUCAUCAAGAAUACCAGUAGGCCUCUUUACGGUGCAGUCAACUAGCUGUAGUAGCAUAGAGGUCGGUCUAGCUCUGCCGAUGCCUAGUUUAGUGCAUACAACCAGCAGCAUCAGAUUUAUGUUGGCUCCCAGAUCACAUAAUGCCUUUGCAAAGGCAUAGCUCCCAAUUGUGCAUGGAAUAGUGAAGCUACCUGGAUCGGACAUCUUUUGAGCCAUCGGUUUUGUCACUAUUACGCUGCAGGUAUGUGUUAGAGUAAUAGUGGAUAGAUCUUGAAAAUCAAACUUCCUUGACAUUAGAUCCUUCAUCAUCUUGGCAUAACCCGGCAUCUCCCUCAAAGCAUCCAUAAAGGAAUAUUUAACUGAAUUUGCCGCAGCAUCUCCAUGAAUUUCUUGUAUUGAACUUCCUCAUUUUGUUUAACCAAUCUCCGAGAGAAGGGUGCAGGUACCACCCUUUGCGCAUUGUUUGUUGGCUUCUCUCUGUUGGAAUAUACUGGCACAAAAGGUACCACCUAUUCUGUAGCUUGUUCAUUCAUCUUUUCUUUGCCUAUUUCCUCCUGACUCUACUCAACCACCACUUUAGUAAGUUCUGUUGGUUUCUAUACCUCUAAGUGAACUGGAGUGGCUGGUGUAGUAUCCUUAUUGACUUGUGCAAUUUCCUACUCUAUGUCUAAAUCUCUUCCAUUUUAGAGACUUAUGCCAUCAGUUGAUUCGGGUUUUGCUCCUUGGGGUUUAUGUUUAUGUCUGCAGGCAAAGUUCCCUGAGGACAGUUGUUCAAAGCCAUGGACAUCUGACCCAGCUGCGUUUCUAUGUUCUUUAUGACUGAAUCAUGUACUGCCAAUUUUUCCUGCACUUUAUUAGUUGUCCCAAUGAGUUGCUAAAGCAUGCCCUUGAUUUCCACCAUAUUGUUAGAUUGCUGCUGAGGAGGCGGUUGAUAAGCUAAUUGUUGCUGAUUUGUUGUGGAUAGCCCUCUGGUUUCUGAUAUGGUACUGGCACUAAUUGGUUUUAAGGGUGCACACUCCCAAGCUGCUGCAUAUUAGGCUUGUACUGCUGAUUUUGCGGUGGUCUCCACUGCCGUGCUCCCUGUCUCUGGCCCCAUAGUUGUUGACAUAAUUCAUAUCAUCCCUUGCCCCUUGAUUGUCACCUUAUCCGCUCCAUGAACACACAUAAGACUGAUUAAUACACGAUGUACACAGUCCUCCAUUUGUUGUAUCAACAAUGUACACAUGUUUUGUACACAUCUUAACAAUCUUCUUUGUUAAUAUGCUCAUCUGGGUCAAGAGUGUUGCCAUUGUCUCUGCCUGCAAAUUAUUGGGAUCAAGAGGAACUGAAUGCACUAUGGGUGCCAGUGUUGUACCUCUGGUCAUCUACCCUGAAUUUUGUGAUAUCUUACCAAGAAGGAUUUUGCACUCGAUGAAUGUUUUACUUAGGAAUACACCUUCGGCUGAAACAUCCACAUAUUUGCUUUCAAAUUGUCAUCUAGCCCAUGUAUAAUCUUUGGACGAGCAUCUGGUCUUGAAUGCCAUGAUGAGGACACUUCACUAGCAUCCCUUUAAAUCUUUCCCAAGUUUCUUGAAAGGACUCGGUGGGUUGCUGCCUAUACUGCAAUAUGUCAUAAAUACGUUUUGUAGUUUUCUUAGGCGGAUAGAACUCAUUCACGAACUGCUUGAAUAAUUCCUCCCAGGUGGUGAUAGAGUUUAUAGGGAGCGAAUUUAGUCUAGUUUGAGCUUUCUCGGUUAAUGAGAAUGGGAAUAGUAGAUGUUUUAUAGCUUCCGAAGUCACAUUUGGCUGCCUUUGGGUCAUGCAAAUUGACAGGAUGUUUUUCAAGUGUAGUUGCGGGUCUUCAAUGUGUAACACGGAGAACAACCUUAUUCUGCAGCAGAUGCAGCAUGUUGUUAAUGAUCUGAAAUUUCUUCGAUUGAUUUGCGGGCACAUCUAUGGCAGUGGCGAGAUUGUCAAUUGUAGGAUGCGCCCAGUCAUAAAGUGCAGCUUCGGGCACAAGAGGUGCCACCCCUCUAAUAUUUAAAUUAGCUAACUCAUUCCUGAUGUUUCUGUUGACGUUAUCUAUGUCACCCAUGUUAAAUUUGAGUUGGUGUGGUUAUCGAGGUUGUUGAAGUCUUUUCUUGUCAUGGUUCAAUGCCAUGGAUGUUUUCUUGGGGUCUGAGAGUCCUUCUAGUAGUUCUC